This 23708-nucleotide long non-coding RNA is filed under the name Olea europaea (common olive). RNAcentral describes it as "long non-coding RNA (OEUR_LNC005948)". The record is from RNAcentral. Lineage: Eukaryota; Viridiplantae; Streptophyta; Magnoliopsida; Lamiales; Oleaceae.
AUCAUCAUCCCUUCUUGUCCUACGUGGGUAAGAUUGUAUAGCAACCAAGGUGAAUCAAUUGGUUGUGUUUUGGAGCCGUUUGGAUUGGUUGUUGGUAGAGAAAGGUACGUUGGACUGAGCCUGAAAAACCACCGUUUGAAGAUCCUUUUGAGAGAGCUUCCGCAACAAUUGGUAUCAGAGCUUCAAGGUAAAGGUUUUGGCUCGUGAAAUCUACCAGAAAUCGUCUAGAAAAUAGGAAGAAACGCAGUAGAAAUCAGAUCGAAGAAGCUGUCCAAAAACUGUUUAAAUCAGUCUCCGUUUUUCAUGUUUUUUGAUCAAUCCAGAGGAGUUUGGGGAAACAGAGACAACUGGCGUAACGUGCAGGAGGAGGGGAACCCUGCAGGCUGGCGCGUGGUGGAAGACGACGGCGCGUGUGGUGGCGCGUGAGGCCCACGCGCAGAGAAGAGAGGCCGCGCGUGAGGGCGCUUUUCUGUUUCAGGCUACGCAGAAGAAUCUGGACAGCGUUGUUGUUUGGGCGUUCGGGACUCGAUAGUGAUUUUUUGGUUGCUGCAGUUUCCAGAGACUUUAGGAUGAACAGUGAUAAUUCUAAAGUGGUGAAUUCGCAUGUCUCGAUAUUUACGGACCUUCAGACAUGGUCCGCUCGAUAUCGUGUUCUUUACUUUUUAUUAUUGCAGUUAAAAUUAAUGUGUACGUUAAUUAUUUAUUUUUCGCAUUAGAAGUCAUCGUGUGGGGUGACAUUAGGUUUGGGGUAACCAUUGCUUGUUGCUAGACCUAGGAAUUACAUGUUAAUUAUCUUAAAAUUCUAUGUGAAUUUAUCACCAAUUUUUCUACACUGAUAGAAUUGCAUGUGACCUUAGGAAAAUUUACUUGACUGUUCUGUGUGAAUUAUGUGUCACUACUUUGCUUGUGGUCAUUAUUUGGUAUUAUUGGCAUGUAUAGGUUUAAGACAAAUGCGAAAAAUAAUAUAUAUUUUAACUGUGUUGAAAUUUGGACAUAAUUGAAAGAGAUUGUCCAGGAUGAUAAUAAAAGGAAAGAUGAGGAUAGAGACAAGGCGAAUAUGACUUUAGGAUCGAGUAGUGAUCCUAAUGAGGUUUAUUAAGAGAAUAAACUUGGUUUUUGCAUUGCAUUUGUGUGUGAUCCUUUCUGCAUGUGUGUGAUUGUCUAAAUUUUGUUGCAUGAUUAUCUGCUACAUUUCAAUGUGUUUGAUAUGUGCAUUUGCAUGAAUUUGAGACAUUAGGAUUACUUGGUGUAAUUGCUUGCAUGCAGAGUGGGUUAGGAUGCAUUAGCAGUGUUGUGUGUCUUUUGGUGAGGUGGAGUAUAGAUGCCUAAGGGUACAUGGUGGUUUGUACCGAGGGAUGUAGAGUGUGACAUUUGGAUCACGAGUGGAGAUGUGAUCAAAUGUCUAGGAUCCUUUAUCUGGAAAGAGACCCUGAUCAGGUGGAGUGUGAGAGAGACACUUCUAUCACUUCUAUUAGGUGGAGACCCAUUAUCCAGGUAGGUUGGGAGAAGUGAUGUGGAGAUAGAGGAUUAUCCCGUGGACUUAGGAUCUAUUGUGACUCACCAGUUAGACAUGAGUUGAGUAAUCUGUCUAGUGAGCGUGGUGGGCGAUGAGAGGAGAUAUGUGUUCUCGAGGUGUGAGCAACACGGAAUGGGAUAGGAUAAGUGUGGUGAGAUCUUUUCUUAGGGUCAUUUAUGCAUGUGUUGCAUAUGUGGUUGACCGUGGUUUGAUUGACUUGGUGUUAAUCUAUGGUUCUAUGUGAACAUGUUUCUGAAAAGAUCUGUGUGUGUUAUCCUAUAGUAUAUCGUCAUCGCAUGUGUAUUUGCUCUUGAUUAUUUACUGUUAAAUAUUUGCUUCUAAUUGGGUGUUUUUUGACCUUAGCCCAAGUGAGUACAUGGAGCAGGUAUGGUAUGUGUUUCAAGUUGGAAACACGAGGUAAGGUCUGUGAUCCAAUUUUAUUGGCUACCUUGAUUAUGCAAGUGUUAACUGUGUGGUUUGAUUGCUUGCAGAUUUAUUGGGCAUCAAGGUGGAGAUUUGUUGGGUUUUUUGAUACCCAAUAAAUCACGGACUAUGAUGUUAACGUGGGUUAAUAUUAUUUCAUAGGUAUAGGCCGAUGAAUGAAAUAAGUCCAACAACCAAAUCCAUGAGCUACACCCGGCCCAAUUGUAUUCCUUAUGGAUGGCUUGAAUCUUGGCCCGUUUACCCCUUUAAUGGCCCAACUUAAAGUCUAACCUUAGAGUAUAUAUAUGAAUAUAACCCUAGCCUCUUUGAUAUGAUGAUUGUGUGAUUUUGAGAGAAGAAACUAGAGAAUCCCGGCUGCCCCCCUUUGUGUGAGAAAAAAGGUAUCCAGAAGUGUCCAGAACGCUGGUAUAACGUGUGCAAUUGGUGAUUCUUUCAUAGUAUACCUUUGUGGUGUCUUCUCCUAACCUUUGUGGCCAUAAAUCAUCAUCCCUUCUUGUCCUACGUGGGUAAGAUUGUAUAGCAACCAAGGUGAAUCAAUUGGUUGUGGUUUGAAGCCGUUUGGAUUGGUUGUUGGUAGAGAAAGGUACGUUGGACUGAGCCUGGAAAACCACCGUUUGAAGAUCCUUUUGAGAGAACUUCCACAACAUACUCAUUUUCAAUAAGUUAUUUUGGAGUGUUAACAUAUAAAGUUGAGUAUUCACUUGAAUAUUGGCUAAUCUUCUAAAAGGUGUUCCAUGGGUCAUUUUGGAGAGUUAAGAAAUAAAGAGAAUAUUAUUUUUUCAUUUUAAAAGUUAUUCCAUCUCCAAGUUUCCAAUAAAAGUGGCAUUAGAGCGAUUUAUAAGAUUGUGGAGAUAAGAGAUGACAAACAACAAUUAUCUUUCCGUUCCUCGACUCGCUGAUGAUAAUUUUAGUACAUGGCAUAUUCGUAUCAAAGCAUAUGUUGAAGUCAAAAUUUGUGGACUUGGUAGAGAGGUUUUGAAACUUAAAAUGAAGAAGCCGUGUUUUAAAGAUAAACAGAUUUGCAACAAGCAAUUAAGAUGAAGAAUCAAACGGCUGUUAGCACAAUACAUCAAGAUCUCGAUGAUACAAUUUUUCAUAGGAUGUAAAAUGCUACCAUUCAAAGCACGCAUGUGGGAUUUUUCAAAAGACAUACAAAUGUUCAAACAAAACUAAAAAAAGUUCGACUUCAAUCUUUGAGAGGAAAACAUGAAGCUCUAUCCAUGAAAGAAACUGAAUCAAUUUCAAAUUACUCAUCACGAAAAUUGGUGAUUAUCAAUGAGAUGAAAAGGCAUGGUAAAGAAGUAAAUGAUCUUCAGUGAUAUUAAAAAAAAAAAACAAAAAAACAAAAACAAAAAAAAUUGAUUAUUACAUGUAAAAUUUGUUUUCCAUUGCAGUGGCUGUAGAAGAAUAAGAGUUGGAAGAAAUGACUAUUGAUGAAGUUGGGAGUAAACUAAAAGCUUACAAGGAAAAGGUGUUGAAAAAAAAGGAAAGAACGUGUAAGAAGAAUAAUAUGAACCAAAGAGGCAGAAAACAUGGAAGAGGUCAUCGAAGUGGAGAUAGAAAUUCUCAACAUUCAUCCAAUAAUGAAGGAAAUUGUCAAUAUUCAUAUAAUUCAAGAGACCAGGAAGACAAUCUUAAAAAAGAAGAAGAAAAAUAAUGGUUGAAGAUAUGAUAAAUCUCAAAUUGAAUGAUAUAAUUUUCACAAGCUUAUUCAUUUCUUAUGUUAGUGCAGGAGUAGCAAUAUGGUGGAGCAAUCCAGCUACGAUGAAAAUAAAGAUAGGAAAAUGAAUUUCACUCUUGAAAAUACAAGGUAAAAGAGGCAAUAAUUCUUGGUACUUGUACAGCUAAGCAAGUAAUCAUAUGUGUGGAGACCAAUCUAUCUUUAUGGAAGCUAAAGAACUAAAUGACCAUGUUACAUUUGGAAAUGAUUCCAAGCUGCAAGUCGAGGAUAAAAGUAAAUUUCUCAUCCAAAUGAGGAAUGAAGAACAAUAAAUAUUCAGUGUUUACUAUAUUCAUUUUAUGAAAACAGUUCAAAUCAUAGAGAACCAGAUAAUCUUGUGAAUAUUCAAAGUUGAGAAGUAAAGCGUUUGCACGCAUAGGUCAAAGAUUCAACAUAUCUAUGACAUUUGAAACUUGGCAAUUUAAGUUUUGACAGUCUAGACAUCUUUACAAAGUGAAAUAUGGUGAAGGGGCCAUAACAUAUUUAUCGUCCAAAUCAACUUUGCAAAGAGUCUAUGAAAAGAAAUCAAAAGAAGCAAGUUUUUGAACAUCGAGACUACUAAAUUAGUGCAUACGGAUCUCUAUAGAUCGGUUCAGCCUGUAUAAUUUGAUUAAAGUAAUUACUUCAUGUUAUUUAUUCAUGACUUUUCUCGUAAAAUAUUAGGUCAUUUUCUUAGAGAAAAGUUUGAUGCAAUUGAAGCUUACAAGAAUUUCAAGGCGAUGUUGAAUAAUCAAAGUGGUCACGGGAUCAAAACCUUAUGUUCAUAUCGUGGUUGUGAAGAUAUUAGCAACACAUUCAAGAAUUUUUCUUUAGAUCAUGGCAUUUUAUCAUUUGUUGAUGUUCACAUCUUCUAAACAAGUGGCAUAGUAGAGAAAAGAAUAUGACUAUCGUGAAAAUGACUCAAAGUAUACGAAAACUAAGAAGAUGCCAAAGAUGCCAAAAAUGUUCUUGAAUGAAAUUGCAAAAAAGUGGGAAAAAUGACUCAUCAAGAAGCAUGGAGGGAAUUCAAGCAAAGUAUAUUACAUCUUCAAGUUUUCAAUAGCAUUGCUUUAUCUCAUAUUUUGAAAGAAAAGGACAAAACUAGAUGACAAGAGAAGGGGGUCUGCUGGAAACCCUCGCCUUCGGCUCCAUACUCAUCAGGCCGGCCGGAAUGGAAAUAUAUCUUAAUAUACUAUGAUUCAAGAUCAAAAGACUACAAGCUCUACAACACAAUAAAUAAGAAGGUAUUCACAAGUAGAGAUGUUGAGUUCGACGUUGAAAUUGGGCAAGAAAAUUAUUAUUUCUUCAAGAACUUGAAAGGCUUACCACUGGAUCAAAGGCAAAGCACUUCUAGGAUUGGCUCCUUCUUUGCCACAGCGAAUAUGUCGAUUUGUAUCAAUAGUGGUCCAUCUCGCUUUUUCUCAUGCUUGAAACAACUUAUUCUUCUUCGAACUCGGAUGCCCCCUAAUGGCAGUAUAACUCUUUUUUUUUUUUUUUUUUUAACUCAUCCCCAAUGAAUGGCGUUCUAAAGCUCUCAAUCAAGCAAAGACUUCCUAUACCAUACUAAAGCUAAAUCAGUGUGGACAUAAAUUGGGACAGACCGUCAAUGAUCUUAGUUAAACCAAUUAGGAAACGAUUUUCUCUUUUCCAUUAAGUAGGAUACGCGACAUUGGAUAAGGAAAAAGAAGUCGAGAACAAAGUGAUGUGAUUCCACCUUAAUUAAUACCAUCAGCUCUACCUCCAAGAUAUAUCUUCAUCUUCAACAUCCUCAUGUAAAAUACAUCAUUUUAGAAGUUUUCAAGAUAUUUUAAUGAUACUGAAGUGUUAUCUCAACAUCUUAAGGAAUUAACAUUAUUUUGUCUAUUUGGCCAUCAUGUGAUUAUUGGUUUCGAUGAUGCUAUACGAAAUAAUUAAUGUAGAAAGCCAUGAACAAAGAGAUCGAAGCUAUUAAGAAUAAUGAUACUUGGGAGUUAGCCACGCAACCUACUGGCCAUUAGGGGUGAACACGACUCGAUUUGGACGAUUUGUGCUAUAUUUUCAACUCAAACCAUUUUAUGCGUUUUAAAUUUUUCGAACCAAACCAAACCAUAAUUUGCAGUUUGGUUCGUUUUUAAUCUGCGGUUUAUCUAUCGACAUUAUAGUAAUAUAUUUAAUAUAAGUUAACAUAUAAGUUUAAACGAGAACUAACAAUGUUAAAUGUUAAAUUACAUUCAUAUUUACCAUGAAAUCCAUGAAUAAAUUAUUUUCAAAGUUUGUUGCUAAAAGAUGUUAAUAGAACAAAUACAUAUUUUUUUAUUUUUAUUUAUUUUUUCUUGUUUGACAUUCAUAUUGUCAUAUAGUGAUUAGUAAAGGUAGAGUUACAUUCUGCUAUUAUGGUUUGGUUAAAAUCCUUUCGUCUUAUUAGUGAAAUGUUAAAUAAGGAUUGAAGGGGAGAUAUUUAGAUGUACAAAGAUUGAUAGAGUUUCGACUUAUUGGGAAUUUACAAAUUUAAUUCUCCAACUACUUUGUGAAAGUAGAAAAUAAUAGUAUUAUUUAGAAAACUUUAACAUUUUCACACAAUCAAUAGGAUCCGUCCCUCGUUCUUUUCAAACUACAAACAGGUUCAUUAACACUUAGGCACACAAACAGUUAUUUUUCUAUCCAAACCACAAUUUACAAGUGUAUAAUAAGUUCAAAAACAACAAAUAAAAAAAAGGAACACCAAAAAAAUGGCUUGAAUGAGAAUCUGCGAUUUACCAAAAAGAGAAAAGAAAAAGACAUGAUUCAGGUAGAUAUUAGCAGAUUAGCAGGCAAAGAUGACUGAAAAUUCGUUUAGUAGUAGCAGACAAGCGUCAAAUGUUAAAGAAAUGAGAAUUUAUAUUAGGGUUUUUGAAGCUUUGGACAUGAGUUGCUAACGUAGUUUUGUUAAAUUAUGAUUUGGAUUACUGACAUAUUUUGGAAUAAUUUUAGUUUAAUUUAUAUAUAAGAUGAGAACAUGUGUUGUGAACUUGUCAAACCAUAGGUUAAUAAUGAUGAAACUAAUUUAUUUUCUAUAAGUAUUUUAAUAGGUUGGUUGUAAUUUGUAUUGCUAAAUUGGUUUUUUUUUUUUAAGUAAAAACUGUAAUAUUUUUAAGUUAAUAAAAUUAAUGUUUUAAUUAAAAAAGUUUUAAAACAAUUCGGUUCGAUUUUGAGCGAUUUUUGAAAAUCAAAACCUAAACAAAACCAUUUUGAAACGAUUAGAUUCGGUUUGAGGGAAAAAAAAACCACGGGUCCACGUGGACCAAAACCAACGAUUUCAGUUUGGUUUGCGGUUUCACGAUUUUUUUUGUGCAGCCCUACUAGCCAUAAGUCAAUUGGAGUCACGGAUUUUUUAGGAUAAAAAGAAUCUAAAUGGUGAAAUCGAAUUCUACAAGGUAAAUGUUUGUAGCUAAAAGCUACAAUAUGGAACAUGAUGUGAAUUAUGACAAAUAUUUGCACCAGUAGCUCUUUUCAAAAUAAUAAGACCUAUCAUUUUCAUGGUAGCAUAAAAUGGCUGUUCAAACGAAAUUUUUGAAUGAAUUUCUACAAUAAAAAAUAUACAUACUACAACCUCAUGGGCAUGUUGUGAAGGGCACUAAGACAAGGUUUCGAAGUUGAAGAGAGCCUUUUAUAGUUUAGAGCAAGUCUCAAGGGCUUAGAAAAGACUCAAUAAAUUUCUUCAAGUGAAUGGAUUUAUUUUUUGAGACAAUUGGAAACUAGUUGCUAACAAGUUCUUAAUUACCCUAGCUAUUUAACAUGUAAUUUUUAUUUUACCUUUACGAACUAAAGACUUUGCUAAAAUUGAUAACAUUAUUCCAAAAUGGAAUUGAGUUAUUUAUGAGAAUUAGAUGCAAUCAAAAGUAUAAAGAGAUAACAAAAAUCGAAAUUACAAAAAGAAAUUUUUCGAAUUGACUGUUUAGAUGGGUAACUGAAAAGAGAAUUCAAGUUUUAAUUUAAUAUUCAAAAUCAAUCAUCUUACUACAAAACUUAUACAAAACUCUUAGCUAGACUUUCAAAGCAAAAUAAUCUAUAGAAAAUUUAUCUAUUUUGAUUAAAUUCCUAAUAAAAAUAUAGUUCCUAUUAGAAAUAAAAUGAUAAAAGACUAAUUAAUUAACAGUAACAAAAAUUAAACAAUAAAAUAUGAUAUUAAACGGGAUCCACUUGUACCAUUCACCUCCUCGAAUCUUUCGCCGAUUAUCUAAAACUUUAUAGGGACAGUGAUUUAAUUGAUACGUAAAUGACAUAGAUAUUAUCCCAAAUAUCUUGAUUCUAAAAAUCUUGAAAAACUUGAGCAACUAAUAGAAUUUUUUCAUUUCUACCCAUUUUAUCCCUAAGAAUUCAACCAAAACUUCAAGUUAUUGCACUACAAAAUUUUGGAAUUUCCAAAUGUUUCAAGAAGUGUAUUUGAUCCUAUGACUUGCUCAACCAUGUGGCCCUCUACUACAACGGACCAUUUAAGUGUGCAAAAUAUUUCAUUUACAUCAUCAUUUCAUUGUCACCAACUACCAUAAUUUUAUGAUGGUCAUCCCUUGACAUUAAGAAAUGAUUUUCAAAAUAAGUUUGUUGAUCCAUAUUGAGUUUCUCUUUCUCAAACUUCUUCUAGAGAAUUUCGACAUCAGUUCUUCGUCAAAGAUUGAUCAAUUUGUGUCAGACUCAAUCUCAACAUCCGUACAACAAUAUAAACCGUUGUCCCUGUGGCGAUUGCUCGCCAAUCCCAUAACCAAGGUCGGCCCCUCAAUUGCCAAAACAGUAUCCAUCAUUGAAUUUUCCAUUUGCAAACCUAUCCACGAUAGGCUUGCGACUAAACCCAUCAUUGCACCAGCCUCAUACAGUCAUAACACACACAUCGUGACCACUACCUCAAGCCUCUUGCCCAUCGCCAUAAAGGUUACCCACCAUAACCAAUGUGGCCACCUUCCGUGCUACGACUUCAAGAUGUUAGAGAUUUGUAUUAGUUUAUGCCUAUGGUUUCCAUUAUCAAUCAUGGCACAACAACGGCUAACUUGUCCUCAUCGAUACAUUGUUAGAAGCAUAGACUAGGCAAUAAUACCGACUGAUGCUGGUGGAAGCUAGAGGAUAACAAAUACGAGAUUAAAAAGAAAAAUGUGUGUACGAAUUAACCAUUUAGGUGAAUAACUUUCUAUUCACAUUCAAACUAACCAUCCGACAACACAAUUAUAACACCAAAUUACUCCUAAGUAGACAUUUAAGCAAAACAAAUUCUAGAAAACUUAUUUAUUUUGAUUAAACUCCUAAUCCUAAUAAAAAUCCUACUAAACAUAAAAUGAUAAAAGACUGAAAAAUUAAAGUAAAAAAAUAAAAAAUCUUAAAUUAAAUGGGAUUAUUUGCAUCAUAGAUUUAAUUGCCAACAUGAGGGUAAAUACAAUAAAAACAUAAACCUACAUUUAAUGAUCUGGAAAUAAUCUUGUUUGCACUAUUUAAUCUUAUAUGGUAAUGUUUAAAAUUGACUGCAUUAAUCGAUGCAGAAGCCUUAUUCAUCUUUAUUUUCUUGUUAUGAUUUCAGUAUAUAAAGUGCAAACACAAACUACAAAUUUAAAGUCGAAUUGUCUAUAAAUCGUCUGAUCUCACUUGAAGUUGGAGAGAUGGUUGCCCUAAUUUGCUCGAGUUCUCUUAUUGCCUUCUAUGCCGUUUAGUUAGUUCCAUGACGCUGCAGAAUAUAACAUGGGGAACAAUGUUUUCAACGAAUUAAACUAGGGGAAGGCAAAAUAAAAGUCUAAUACAUUUUAUAAAUAGAAUAGCAUGUUUGGUAUCGGAGAGACAACUCAAUUGCGUGACUUAUUGCAUGUUUUGUAAUGAAUACGAAACUCAACAGUAUGGCUUUAUUUUUUCCACUUCAGUACAUACAUUCAACCAUAGUAAAUUCUAGAAGGUUCAUUGAAAAUGCAUGCAGUUUCAUUUUUUUUUUGUUUAAGAUUGUUAAGAAUUCGAAUCUAUAUGUACACCUGGAUGUCCCAACUAGGCCAGAACCUAUUUACCACCCUUAUCAUCUAUCGAUCCACAACAUUUUAUUAGUAAUAUCAAAAAGAAUAGUAAUCAUAAUGGACGCAGUAGAAUUAAACUUAACCGGCUAUAUCUCACUUUUCAGUUUUUCCUUUCAGGUGCCAGCAAGAACUAUAGCCACCUUAUUUAUACUUGUACGAGUAUGAAGAACUUAAUACCACUUUGGAACGUCAGAAUAUAUAAUAAUAAACCAUUAAAGCUAUUAGAUAACAUAAAUUAAUUAGGUGUUUUCAUAGAUGUUGAUUACUACUUCCAGAUUCUCGUAUAAGGAUUUUUCAUUACAUAUGUAAAUGUGACGCCAACUUCAGAAAUUUCAAUAGGUCUAUGUCUUGUUUAAGCAAUAGAAGCAACCAGUGUAACUGUUAAAGAUGAUAUCUGAUUGAAUAGUAAACCAAUGGAUUUUUUAACCAAUCCAACCUGGUGCAAGCCAGAAUUAGUAUUUUCUAGUCGAAGCUACAAGGCAUUCACCAAUUUCAUAAUUAUGGGCAGCUAAAUACUUCAACUUAAGACAUUUGCAGGACAUGACACCAUUUUAUACCACAUUAUUUUUAAACUUUUAAUAUAUGAAUGGUGUACUCUCUUGAUAAAACAAUAUUGGAUAGGAAAACAACUAAUUUCUCACAUGUUGAAGAUACAAACCUUGGACACAAAGCACAGAAACCAAGCCAUCUCUUACUGAGGGCGCUAUUGCAGGACGUGACACCAUUUUAUACCACAUUAUUUUUAAACUUUUAAUAUAUGAACGGUGUACUUUCUCGAUAAAACAAUAUUGGAUAGGAAAACAACUAAUUUCUCACAUGUUCAAGGUACAAACAUUGGACACAAAGCACAGAAACCAAGCCAUCUCUCACUGAGGGCGCUAUUGCACUCAUGACUUGUACUACCCGCAGUCCCACAUUGACUCUCAAAAUGAACAUAUUCAAUAGCAUUCACCGACUAUUGAAGAUCAAUAGAUUUGCUGAAAACAACACAAGAUACUAGAAUACUUUCAGUUUUGUGCCAUCCUUGUUUUCACAUUUUCCUGCAUGAUCAUCGUUGUUUCAACUCUACAUCAUCCCCUGCCCCAAUAUCUUCACCAAAAGCUACUUUACAAACGCAAAUAGGAGAAAAACAUGUGAUAUAUAUGAUAUAUCAGUGUACCAUUCGCCCCUAGCUUUGUUCGAUCCUUUGUAUCACACUUCUAGAUUAUUUGCAUCCAUAUUGGAGCUAAAUUUUCUACCUAAUAAUUUCCAUUACUGCCCAUUUAAUUCGUACCUUCUCUUAAGAACGUUCUCUCUAAUCAUUUUUCCUGUUUUUUUUGUCUAUUAAUAUCUUUAGUUUUCAAUACAAAUCUAGCUAUGUGAUUGACAACUCAGUAGCCAAAGGCGUCAAAGCUUCGUCCCCAGUGGCAUGUUGUGUGUGUGUUCAAGAGAGAGAAGAUCAAGAGAAGAAAAUAGAAUACCUUGAGCUAGAACAAUGGAAGAAUUUUCCAGUGGCAGAAAAAACAAUUAGAGCAAUCUCAGCAUCACAAAGAGUAGAGAGUUCUUGAGCCUUCUUAAAAACCCCUCUUCUUAUUCUUCUCUUUGAAAAGGUCACUUGGCGUGCAGUCAAGUUAUCAACUUCUUGAUCUGAAUAUUCUGUUUCACCAUUUUCACAGUACACUCACUGCAAACAGAUGAUAUGUAUAUCUCGUCAGUUACCAUAAGAAAUAUAAAGAGAUCGAGGGACGAGAAAGAAGUCAAAGAACUUUGGUCUUUGAUAGAAAUAAGGAAAAAAGAAGCAAAGCAUGUCUUCAAUACAAUACAGAAUCUGAAACCACGACCAAAAAAUAAAAAUAAAAAAAAACGAAAAAAAAAAAUUGGAAAUCAGAGCCAUGAGACGGNNNNNNNNNNNNNNNNNNNNNNNNNNNNNNNNNNNNNNNNNNNNNNNNNNNNNNNNNNNNNNNNNNNNNNNNNNNNNNNNNNNNNNNNNNNNNNNNNNNNNNNNNNNNNNNNNNNNNNNNNNNNNNNNNNNNUUAGGAGGAUCUAUCUAUAUAUCUAUAAAAAUAUACAUAUUUAUAUACAUGUAUAAAUAUAAAUAGAAAAGUAAGAGGUAGUCAGUUAGAAGAAUCAUUCAGUUUUUUUUUUUUUUUUUUUGCAUAAAAUAGAAAGCUUUAACAAUGUAACAUUUUCUAAUUCAGGGAAGAGAUUGCGACCUCCACCUGCAGAACAGAAACCCUAGAGAGAGAAAGUAGAAAGCAUCUGAUAUUAGAAAGCGAGCUGAAGUAGAGGAGAAAAUAUCAAUAAAGUUGGUUUGCAAAUUGCCAAAGGAGAAAGGGGAUCAUAUUCAUUGAAAGCGAAUUUGCACUUUUGUCUCCAACGUUUGAAAGUGUAACAAACGUACCUAAACUUUUUUUAGCAUUAAUCAUCCCAAUAUUUCAAUUUGUAAAUACAUUAUACAUCAUUCCCUCCAUAUUGGCCAUUAAAUGACGAAUUUGUCUUUUUAAAAUAAAUUAAAAAAAUUAUUAAACAACAAAAAAUAAGAGAAAUUAAAAUAAAUCCCAUAACUUUUAAAAAGUACAAAUAAAUUUCAUUUAGAAUAAUUAAAUACUUAUUAAUACAAAAAAAAAAAUUAGAAAAAAUAUAAUUUACCCCUGCCAAGCUCACCCAACCUAGUCCAUCAACACCCACAUCACUCUAUCACACACAUCGUAGUCCACCCCUACUUGCAAUCAAAUUUGUCUUCCUUUAAUUUAGAACUAAGGCAUGCUCUUAGUUGUUAUAUUUUGUGACAGAACAUUUGUUCUUGAGCUAAGAUAUUAUAGAUUAAACCCUAUAUGAUCCACGUUAUUUGGAAAAAUAUAUUUUUAAAUAAUGAUUUGACGUCAUUUCAAUCACACAUUUUUCAACAAAAUAAUGUUACAAGUAAAUUCAAUACAUUUUCUUAUUUUUAAUCAUAUAUUUUACAUCAUUACACAUAUUCAAAAGUGCAUAUUUUAUGAAAAUAAUGUGAUUCAAACAAGUGCUAAAUUUAAAAUAUGCAAAUAUAUAUAUUUUUUAAGAGUUCAAAAGGUGAGAUGUUUUGACAUUGUAUCAAAGUAUUCAAAAGACCAUUUAAGCUUAAAUUUUACCUCCACUUAUUGAUUAACACUAAUAUGUUUUAACAUGCGCUUUAUAUAGAGUGGAAUAUAAGUAUACUGAAAAGCAGGUCGAAGUGCUUGUAGUUUACGGUUAGUUAGCUUGGGACAUUUAAUAGGUCAAGGGUGGGGGGCAACACUCCGAGAUACUAUACAGAAGUGUUUUUGAAUUUUUUUUUAAAUAUCUUAUAUGAGUCAGAGUUAAGAGUCUGCGCACGAAUGCGGGCAUGUUGUAACCCUAUUAUGUUCAUAUAAGAAUUAAUCUACUUGAACAAUUAAUAGUGAGUGAACGUGCGUUGCACGUUAAUUAGUUAAUGUUUAAAAUAAAUAUAUGUAAAUUUUAGAAAAAUUCAUUUAUAAAUUUGGAAGAUAUUGGUCAAUUCGUUGAAAUUGACUUAUUUUUUGUUAAUUUUCUCUGUAUAUUGUUUAUUUUUCAUAUGAAUAUUUGAAAAUUUGCAUAUAUUUGUACCAGUCAUUUUCCAGUAAAAAAGUUUUUGGGAAAUUUUUUAUGCGGAAUAUAUUUCUCUAUAUAGCUCAGCCUGAAAUAUGAUUUAACCUACUCAAGCUUUGCCCUUAAUCCAUGCUAUGAUUAUAAUAAUUAAAUAUCACCAUGAUAUACAAUAUAGCAAUAUCUACACUAUUGCAUUAAAAAUGAUUUUUCAUGUUUACAGGCACCAUGCAAAAUCCUAAAUUAUAGCUUAAAAUGUUAAAUGCAAGUUCGUGUAUCAACCUUGUUUCAAGGACCUGAUUUUAUUGUCAUUGGAGCUUGAUUGUAAGAUUGUAAAAACGUAAUUAGAACAUUAGAAAAUAAUAUAGAUAUGGGCAUAACUAUAAAUGGAGAAAACUUCUUCAAACUUUUUAAAGUUUAAUUAAAAAAAAUUUAAAUCAAACACAAAAUUAUUUAUAAUAUGAAGCAAAAAGAAAUUUUAAAACAAUUCUUCUUCUUCAAGAUUUCCACGGUUUCAUUGAUGCUUUCUUUAAGAGGGGUAAAUUCAAUGCCCAAGGUUUUUGCUUCUAGUUUGGAAUGGAAGAUUUGUUGAAAAGGCAUGGUCGGUAGUAUAGAAAAUGGAGAAAUUGUGUUUCUCUGUCAAAAGCAUGGCUUUACUUUGCUGAAAAAUCGUGAUUUCACAAAUUUUUUGUAAAAGAAAAUUAAAAUAAAAGAGUGAAAUCCGUACAAGACGAUGUAUAUGUUUGGCACAUGUCCAGCCAUUCAUUCACUCUUUUAUAUAUGUAGGAUAGUUGACAAUUUUUUAUUUGACAAAAUUUGAACAGUUGAUUUAAUAAAUUAUUUUUAAAUUUUUUUGAAAUAGGUGAAUAUGAUGAUAAUUGUCAGCUAUCAUUGUACAUAUAGCUUGAUUUUUCAUAUAAUAAGAUCAUAAUUGUUCGACUCCGGUGGAUGUAGGCCUAUUAUUGAACCACUUAAAUCUAUAUAUUUUUGCUCUUGUUCUCUCUUUGUUGAUUCCGUCAUUUUGUUAUUAUUAUUGCCACACAUAAUAGAACAAAUAAACAAAAAUUGUACCGUAUCUAACACUUAAAUUUUAAAUGAGGCGAUCCAACACAAAUUAUCCAAGUUUAUAAUUAUCUAAAUUCACGGGUUGGAGAAAAUUGUUAUUGUUAAUGAGGAGAAACCACAGAUACUAUUUAUCUGCCUACUUUUUCUUGAAAUAAGGGUCGAAACUGCUAAUUUAGAUUUUUCAUGUGAAUUUUUAAAAAAUGAUACAAAUGAAUCGUGCUUGUGAAAUUAUUAAUUCGUAAUAACUAAAUAAUAGUAAGAAUUUUGAUAUUUGAAUAUGAUUCAUCCUAGUAAUGAAGGUGGCACUAUUUAUGGAACACGUUAUUUUUCCAGUAAGGUUGGGACCAUUCCCUAUUGAAAUGACAAAAAGUUUGAAGGCCUCGAGUUAGAAGACUUUUAAGCACAAUGGAACUCAAUAAUUGUUAAUCUAUUGGAGUUUGGCACAAAUCAAUUCUCAAUCGAUUUAUUAAUACAGAUUGUUGACGUUUCAACAUUCGAACAUAAAUGAAGAAAUUACAAUAUUAAUAUUCUUAAACCAACUCCUAACAAUCACAAUUUAACUAUUUUAAUUUUCAACGAUGAAACUUUUUUUCUAAACCUCAAGGUUCAAUAUUAAGCCCAUGUUUGACAAUCAUCCUUUUCGAAAAAGAGUUUUGAAUAAUGAUUUUAGGAGAAUGUAUGAUAAAAAAUAAAAAAUAAAAAAAAUAAAAGAAGUUUUGAUUUACGUACAAAAUAUUUUAUUAUGUAAAUAUUUCAUUGGUAAUAUCGAAAAAAAGAGUUCAAAAAGUAUAGCUUCCAAACGGGGCUAUAUUUGAGUUCAUUAAACUUCAAACAAACAUUCGAAUUGUUUUUAAAAAUUUUAAGAUUGAUGUGCUCAAACAAAUUACCAUUGUGUGAAGCAUAUGUUAAGAGUAAUGCCUUACAUCACUAAAGAUGAAAUAGAUAACACAGUUUCUCAAGGCAUAACAAAAUUGACAUUCUAAAUGAAACCACGGACUUCUACAACUAUAGUAUGCUAAACAUUGCCUGCAAUUUCCUAUUUGUUAAAUUAGUAUGCUAAAAAUAAGCCUCCAUUUGGACGCCGUUAAUUCAAUCAGAAUUAAUUUUUUUCCAUCACAUCGGGUGGGGCUUACGUUGUAGCAUAUGAAUGAGUGGUUUAUUAUUUAUGUACCCUUUUCUAUUUGUACUCCCAUUUGUCAUAUUUCUUGGCAAAAUGGGUUUGAGUGUUACGAGUAAAAUAGGUAAAGGAGCAAAUAAAAGAUUGAAAAGAUACAACCUUUUGUCAAUCACAUGUCAAAAAGUAGGAAUAUUGAAUGCUGAAAUUACUGUACAAUGGUCAGCAAAAUUCAAAAAAUGAGGUUAAAAUGAGUAUCAAACAAGAGCUAAGUGUAAUAAGGACUCGCGAUAUAAAAUUUUUAUCUUCCCAAUUCAAUAGGAUGCAUCUAUGAACAUGUAAAGCUUCUGUGUAACAAGAAGGUAUUCAAGUUUUUUGAAAGAUAAAAAGGCAAUACAUCCUAGCAUAGAGAUUCAUUAUUCAUUUUUUAAAAGAGGCUUCCCAAGACAAAAAGACAAUACAUCCUAAUAUAGAAAUUCAAUUUUUUAAAGAGAUACAUUUUUAAGAUUGAUAAUGAAAUUAUUAUGCAACAAAAUCAAAGUAUGAAAAGUCACAAGGAACAGGUGUAAGUUACAAUUUAUGUCAUUUUUAGUCUUUUUGUAAUAUCGUUUAUAUUUUCAUAUAACUAAUUCAUGACCAAUAACUCAAAAUUCGAUGUCAAUUAAAUCGUUCCCAUCCUAAACGAAUUUUCUUGUUGAAUAUUCAAAGUGAACAAGUGGAGUGUUUGGAGGCAACACCUCAUACUCAAAUCGUGGUAGUGAAUAUAUUAGCAACACAUUCAAGAGUAUAUACAAAGAUCAUGGUAUUUAACAUUCUUUAAUAGCAAAGAGGAAGAGUAAGACUCAUAAAAAUGACUUGAAAUAUUUUGAAAACUAAGAAGAUGCAAAAGAAGUUCCAGGCUGAAGCUGCUCAAUGUGCCGUAUCUUUGUUGAAUCGCUGUCCCAUCGAAGUGUGCAAAAUGACUCCUAAAGAAGCAUGGAAUGAAUUCCAGCCAGGUGUAUCAUAUUUUUGGAUUUCUGAGAUAGUUGCUUCAUCUCGUGUUCUGAAAGAAAGGAUAAAACUAGAUGCAAGAGAGAAAUAUAUCUUAGUUGGCUAUGUUCAAGAUUCAAAAGGUAAUAAGCUAUACAACCCAAUGAAUAAGUAGGUGAUCACUAGUAGAGAUGUUGAGUUCAACGUUGGAAUUGGCAAAAUCAGCAAGAUUAUACGAUAAUUUUUCCUUUCAAUGAUGAUGAACAAGUUGUUGUGAUUCUGCCUCAACUAACACCAUCAAUUCCACCUACAAAUUAUGGUCAAGAUAUACGUUCAUCUUCAUCAUUUUCAUGUAAAAUACCACAUCAUUUUAGAAGUCUUUGGGAGAUUUAUGAUGAUGCAGAGGAGUUAUAUCAACAUCUAGGGAAAUUAACUUUGUUUUGUCUAUUUGACGAUCAUGCGGUUAUUGAUUUCAAUGACGCCAUUCUAGAUGAUAAAUGAAAGAAAGACAUGAAAGAAAUGAUUGUAAGUAAUUAAGAAGAAUGAUUAGGCAAUCUGAAACUAGUUGAGAAUGGACAAGAUAUUUAUUUGUUUGAGAGUGAAUUAGGAAAUUAAUUAGUAGGGACGGUGAUUUAACUGAUACGUCAAUGUCAAAGAUAUUAUCCAUAUAUCUUGAUUCUAGAGAUCGUGAAAAAAUUUGUGCAAUUAAUGAAAUUUAUCCCACUGUUUCCCAACAAAUUCACUGAAACAUUCAGAGUUGGUCCGUCACGAAAUUUUGGAAUUUCCAAAUGGUCCAAGUAUAUUUGAUCCUAUGACUUGUUCAACCAUGUGGCAUUCUACAGGAAACAGACCAUUUAAGUGUGAAAAUUAUUAUAUUUGCAUCAUUGUUGUUUCAGUUUUUCCAACUGCCAUAAUUUCAUGAUGGUUAUCUUUUGACAUUGAGAAUUGAUUCUCAAAAUCAGUAAGUUGAUCCAUAUCAAGUUUCUCGAGAAUCUUGACAUCAAUUCUUCCUCAAAGAUUUAUAAAUUUGUGUCCAACUCCAUCUUAACAUCCGUACAACAAUAUGAAUCAUUGUCCCCAUGGGCGUUGCUCGACAAUCUCAUAACCAACGUUAGCCCCUCAAUUAUUGGAACACUCUCAAUCUUUGAGUUUUCCAUUUGCAACAUAUCUACAGUCAGGCUCGUGACUAAACCCAUCAUUGCACCAGUCUCCCGCAGCCAUAACAUGCACGUCAUGGCCACCACCUCGUGCCUCUUGCCUAUCAUUGUCAUAAAGGUUACUCACCAUCUAUUAUGGAAAGAUAACCAAUCUGGCCACCUUUUGUGUCACGACCUCAAGAUAUUGACAAUUUGUGUAAACUCAUGUCUACAGUUCCCAUUAUCAACCAUGAAAACAAGACGUUUAGCUCGUCCUCCUUGAUCCAUUAUUAGAAGCAUAGACUAACUAUGAUAUCAACUAACACAUGCAAAAGCUUAAACGAUAGCAAAUAUGGGAUUAAAAAUGAAAAUUCGCGUACGAAUUAAUCAUUUAGGUGGAAAUUGAAGGAAAAUCUCAAACUUCCUAUUCAUGUUAAAAAUCAAUCAUCCUACAAUACAAUUAUAACACCAAAUUUAUGCAAAACUCCUUACUAGACUUUUAAGCAAAAGAAACUCAAGAAAAAUUACUUAUUUUGAUUAAACUCCUAAUCCUAAUAAAAUGAUAAAAGACUAAUUAAUUAUAAUAAUAAAAUUGAACAAUAUAAUCUUAAAUUAAACGGACUAUUUGCAUUAUAGAUUUAAUUGACCACAUGGAGGAAACAUAAAUCUACAUUUAAUGCGCUGGAAACAAUCUGUGUUCAAUAUUUAAACUCAUAUGGCAAUGUUUAAAAUUGAAUGCAUUAAUUUGAUUCUGAAGUCUUAUUUAUCUUUAUUUUCUGGUUAUAAUUACAGUAUAUGAAGCAUAAACACGAACAACAAUUUAAAGUUGAAUUGUUUAUAAAUGGUAUAUCUCACCUUAAGUUGGAGGGACGGUUGCCCUAAUUUGUUGGAGUUCUCUGAUUGCCUUCUAUGCCUUUCAAUUAGUUGCAUUAUGCUGCAGAAUAAUACAUGGCAGAUGAAAUCAAAAUCUAAUACUUCUAUAAAUAGAAUGCGAGUUUGCUACCAAAUACACAACUCAAAGUUACGACUUAAUGCAUGUUUUGUAAUCAAUACGAAAUUCAACAGUAUGACGAUUCUUUUUUCUUCAGUAAAUAUAUUCAACCAUACUAUACUCUAGAAGGUUAAUUUAAAAUGCACGGAGCUGUAGUUAUGUGUUUGCAUAAGACUGCUGAAAUUAUAGGAAUUUGUUGUACACCAGGAUGUUCCGACUAGGUCGACACCUCUUUACCACCCUCAUCGUCUACCGAUCCCCAACAUUUUAUUAGUAAUAUCAAAACAAAAGAGUACAUCAAAAUUGAAGCAAGUAGAACUAUAUAUUAGUUUCAGUUUUUUCCUUUCAAGUGCCAGCUAAGAAUUAUUAGGGACCUUGUGUGUUUACGAGUGUGAAAUAUUUUCCUAGUAUCACUAUGGAACAAUGGAAUAUAUAUAUUGUUUAAGCAUUUAAGCUAUUAGAUAACAUAAAUUAAUUAAGUGUUCUCGUAGAUUUUGAUAACUACUUGCAGAAAGAUUUUCCAUUCCACAUAUAGACGUUAGCAUGCUAAUGUUUGAAACUUCAAUAGGUCUACGUCUUGUAUAAGCAAUAGAAAAAACCAAUAUAGCUGAGAGAUAAUAUCUGAUUGAGUAAACCAAUGGAUUUUCUAGUGAAAGCUGAAAUCAGUACUUUCAUGUCGAAGGUGCGAGGCAUGCACAAAUUUCAUAAUUAUGGGCGGCUAAAGACUUCGACUUAAGAUAUUGGCAUGAUAUGGUACCAUUUUAAACCACAUUAUUUUAAAGCUUAAAGAUAUGUCGAAAGGAGUAUGUUCUCGAUAAGACAAUAUUGGAUAGGGAAAAACCUAAUAUCCCACGUGUUUAAGGUACAAAGCAUGAACCUUAGACCAAAACAAAAACAAAACAAAAAAAAAAACAAAAAAAAACAAAAAAAAAAAAAAGGAAAAACCAAGCCAUCUCUCAUAGAGGGCGCUAUUGCAUUCAUAACUUAUACUGCCCAGAGUCCCACAUUGACUCUCGAAAUGAACCUAUUCAAUAGCAUUCACCCACUAUUAAUGAUCAAAAGAUUUGUUGAAAACACCACUGAGCUACGAGAAUACUUUUUAUUUUGUUCCAUCCCUGUGUUCACAUUUUUCUAUAUGAUUAUUGUUGUUCAACUAUACAUUCUGCCCUGCCCCCUCCCCUUCAUCAGAAGCUAGUUUACAAAAGCACACUGGAGAAAAACAUUUGAUAUAUAUCAAUGUAUCCUUCGCCCCUAGUUUUGUUCGAUUCUUUGUAUAACACUUGUAGAUUAUUUGCAUCCAUAUCCGAGCUACAAUUCUCUACCGUAUAAUUUCCAUUACUGCCUAAUUAAUUCGUACCUUCUCAAAAGAAGUUUUCUGUGGUUUUAGCCCAUUAAAAUCUUUAGUUUUCAUACAAAACUAGCUAAGCGAUUGAAACACAGUAGCCAAAAGCAUCAAAGCUUCGACCCAGUAGCAUAUUGUGUGUGCGUGUUCAAGAGAGAGAAGAGAGGAAAUUAGAGAACCUUGAGCUACAAUAAUGGAUGAGUCUACCAGUUGCUAAAAAACAAUUAGGGCAGCCUCAGCAUCAGAAAGAGUUCUUGAGCCUUUUUUAAACCCCUCUUAUUCUCUUUGAAAAGUGACUUGGCGUGCCAUCAAGUUAUCAAUCUUCUUGAUCUGAAUCUUCUGUCUCAACAUCUUCACAGUACAAUCAUUGAGGAAAAAUAUUAGGGCUUGUUUGAUUCUAUUAUUUUCAAAAUUAGUUUUCUCUCUUCUUUUGGACAACACAUUCUUAAAUAAAAUAUUAUUUUUAUACGCAAAAACUUUUCCUUAUUUUUAUUCAUACAUUAUCCAUCAAUUCGCCAUUCCAAAAUAGAUUAUUUGCUAAAGAUGGGGAUCAAAUAUAUGUGUAUGUCAUUGGUACAAUAAGAAAUAUAUUGAGAUUGGGAGACGAGAAAGAACAUUGUACUUUGUUAAAAAUAAGCAAAAAAGAAACGAAGCAUAUUUUCACAGAAUCUGAAACCAAAAACCCAAAAAAAGGGAAAUCACAGUUAGAAAAAUCAUUCUUUUUUUUUUCUUUUUUUCCCCCCUUUUUUUUUUUUUUUUUUUUUAAAAAAAAAAAUUUUUUUUUUUUAUUUUUUUUUUUUUUUUUUUUUUUUUUUAAAUUUUUUUUUUUUUUUUUUUUUUUUCCCCCCUUUUUUUUUUUUUUUUUUGCAUAAAUAGAAAUCUUCGACGGUGUCACAUUUACUAGUUCAGGGAAGAGACGAAAACCUCCACGUGCAGAAGUGAAACCCUAGAGAGAGAAAGUAGAGAGCAUCUGAAAUGAGAAACCAAGCGAAGUGGCAGUGAAAGUAUCAAUAAAGUUGGUUUGCAAAUUGCCAACGCAUGGAGAGGGGGAGAGAGGCGUAGGUUUAGAGAAAUGAUUAAACUAGAUGUACAGAUGAUGAUGAUGUUACAGACCUUCUACAUGUCAUUGAAAUCGGGUCCACGUGGAACCCGAUGCAUUAAAAAAUGGUCAAAAAUAACAUCGACUCCACCCAUUGUGAAUGAUCUGUAAAACAUCUAUAAAAAUCUUCCCUGUAAGUGCAGCUCGAUCGUUAAAGAAAUUAUCUUUACUGGACGUUGGUUUUGUCGAACCGUAAAACUUGGCACACCACUGGAUACGGUUCUUCCAAUGAUACUUUACACUAAUUAAUUUAUUUUAUUUGUACAUUACUAAUUAUACUAUAAUUAAUUUAAGCUUGUAAUUAUUUUAACAGUUGUCAACUAAUAUUAAAUUCAACUGAAUUGUACUAUUUGUACCCACUUUUAUCUUAAAUAAAAUAAUAUAAAAUCCGCUCCGAGAAUAAUCAAAAUAAAUAAAACCUAAAUAUGUAUGUACUAAAUCCCUGUUUGUCUACCAUUAAAAUAGAAGAAAGAGUUUCAAAAAGUGAGUUUUUUAAGGAUGUAUGUUUAAAAAUGCGAAAAAAAUUUAAUUUACGUACAAAAUAUUGAAAAUGAAUAUAAGAAAAAAAAAGCUCUGAAAUAUUGAUAGACAAACACAAGCAAAGUUCUUUAGUAAUUGGACAAGGCUAAGGAAUCUGGAUGUAUUAGCAAUUGCGUCUAAACCAUGAUAUCGAUGAAAAAUAAAUCCAAAAAUGCUAUAAAUGUCAAUUAAUCAGAAAUGACUUUUUUUUUUUUUUUUUUAUCAAAAUAACAUUUCCAAUUGACAAUAUAAAAUGUCAAUUUAACAUAUUUUUUUUUAAAUCGCCCAACUGACCAUAGUCAAAUUUCAGUUCAUCCCUGUUCAAAAAUCAGAACAACAUUGUCUUCGAUUUCAUGUGUUAAGAAAUCAAAAUUUCACUUUUAUGUACCUCGUAUAAUUUCCUUGGAUAGUAUGAUUUCAUCAUAAAUAUAUAGCACAAGCAAAUUCAAAACAAGAUUUAAAUGUUCUGAAGCCACGUAAAUCCACAACAUUGGCCCCUAACACUCAACUCACUUACACAACAAUUUAUAAUUAUAUCCAAUUAUGAAAAAUAGACAAUUAUCCUUCUGGGCUGUGGUCUCCUGGCAUCAUCUUCAGUUGGAGAAAGGUAAGCUGCCAAAAUUAACAUAAGCAUACGGUCAAAAAGAUCUGAGACUACAGCCUACUAAGACAAUACUUUUUUGUGUAAAUUUGAAUUAGGUCACAUGAAUUUAAUGAAAAUCAAGUACCCCAGCCGGAGGGAAGUAUCAGAGCCAUGAGAAUUGGUGAUACACUCGGAUGAAUUGCUUUGCUCAAUAGCAUUUCCAGUACCUUCAGAUUUCUGCAUAAACAGCUCACUUUAUGACUUGAGAAUGCGAAAUUUACUACUGAAUUCCAAUGCAUGAAUGCAGUAUGAGAAAUGAUAUAUAAUUUUGGAAAAUAAAGGAUCAACUCUCACUUCUGCUUGCUGUUUCAACUUAGCAUUUUCUUCCAUUAAUUUAGAUUCCUGCAUAUCAGGAAAGUUAACUAAUUAGCCCAAGCAUUUAGUUGUUGAUUUUAUCAUUUUACGGUAUUUAUCUCUUAACAAGGAGCAGCAUGAUUAUAUUUUUCAUUAAAGGAUUAAGUUUGAGGUCUUGCCUUUUUCAUGAGCAUAUUUAUCUCUUUAAAAAACUUGUCAUUCUUCCACGGAAAGACAGAGAUGUUAGCACAAAAAAUCUAAACAGGAAACACUGGAAAACACGGAAUUGUAUGUAAACCUUUGUUUCCACGACAUGAUUUAGCACUCCAUGUACUCUUUUCUCUAGUUUGAUCAACUCAUCCAUGUCAAGUCCUUGGAGCUCUUCUCCCUUGAGUUGCCUAUCAUAAUUACAAUUAUUUCUCAACUGUGCAAUGCACUUGAAUAUGCGUAACAGAAAACCUUUAAUUCACAGCCAUAUUUUACCUUAAUUCACGAGUCUUCUCCUCUAGCAUCUUGCUGAGCAAGCCAUAGUUAUCAUUUUCCUGAGAAGAAAAUGCAAAUAGAGUUAUUCAAAUAUCACAUAUAACGUAGCAUUUUCGUGUUUUUGACAUUAUAUUGUUGAAAUAUAAUCUUCAUUUAUAUAGUCAAGUUCAUCAUUUAUUUAGUUAAGUUCAGUCAUGUCUUUUGGGAUUAUUCAUGUACUUGGAAAAUAUAUGAAUUAUUUUCAUGAUUUGUUUGCCUAUAAUAACUAGUACAUGUAUUAAGAUUAAAUUCAUGUUUUGUGAAACCUAUAAAAUAUCAGUGAAUGUACUUAUUGAAAAUAAGUUAUUUUGGAGUGUUAACAUAUAAAGUUGAGUAUUCACUUGAAUAUUGUCGUCUUCUAAAAGUUGCUCCAUAAGUCAUUUUGGAGAGUUAAGAAAUAAAGAGAAUAUUAUUUUUUCAUCUUUUAAAAGUUAUUCCAUCUCCAUGUUUCCAACAAAAGUGGCAUUAGAGCGAUGUAUUAGAUUGUGGAAAUAAGAGAUGACAAACAAUAAUUAUCUUUCCAAUCCUCAACUCACUGAUGAUAAUUUGAAACUUAAAAUGAAGAAGACAUGUCUUAAAGACAAACAGAUUUGCAACAUGUAACUAAGAUGAACAAUCAAAAGGCUCGUAGCACGAUCCAUCAAGAUCUUGAUAAUACAAUUUUUCAUAAGGUGUAAAAUGCUACCAUUCAAAGCAAGCAUGCGGGAUUUUUCAAAAGACAUACAAAUGUGCAAACAAAAUUAAAAAAGUUCGUUUCAAUCUUUGAAAGGAUAACAUGAAGCUCUAUCCAUCAAA